AUUCCAGCUCCAAUAGCGUAUAUUUAAGUUGUUGCAGUUAAAAAGCUCGUAGUUGGAUUUCGGGUGAGGAUGACCGGUCUGCCGUUGCGGUACGCACUGGACGUUUUCAUCUUGUUGUCGGGGACGCGCUUCUGGGCUUCACUGUUCGGGACGCGGAGUCGGCGCUGUUACUUUGAAAAAAUUAGAGUGUUCAAAGCAGGCAAUCGCUCUGAAUACAUUAGCAUGGAAUAACGCUAUAGGACUCUGGUCCUGUUGUGUUGGUCUUCGGGACCGGAGUAAUGAUUAAGAGGGACAGUUGGGGGCAUUCGUAUUUCAUUGUCAGAGGUGAAAUUCUUGGAUUUAUUAAAGACGGACUACUGCGAAAGCAUUUGCCAAGGAUGUUUUCAUCA
Molecule: ribosomal RNA, 389 nt
Filed under: Pyramimonadales sp.
Lineage: Eukaryota; Viridiplantae; Chlorophyta; Pyramimonadophyceae; Pyramimonadales
Description: partial small subunit ribosomal RNA
Rfam family: Eukaryotic small subunit ribosomal RNA
Source: RNAcentral